GGCUCGUAACUGCUGAACGUCGCUCUGGACAGAAAGUUUUGGGGUAAUGAACCAGGUUCCAGUUCAUCCUGCAUGUUUGAUACACUAUCCGGGCCUGGAGCCUGACUGUUUGAAUCUGUACACCCUGCAGAACAUCCACAACAUUUACAGGUGUCCAUCCCGUCCUGUUUUGUACUACCGAGUACGCUAGGAGGUUCCAGAUCCGGCUGGUCACUUUGUUGGCCUCGUGCUGCCCCUUAGCUGAAGUCAGAGACAUGUAUGGCAACCACUUCCUCCUCUUGGGGUGUCUCAUACUGAGAUGCCAGGUCCUUUGGGAUGGGGAUUUUGGGGAAGACAAGCCUCAUGAGGUCAUCUACAGUCUGUAAAAUAUUGAAUUUAAAUAUUGAUUUCCUUGUGUUUUUAAAUUAAGUGCUUCCCUGAAUCCACCUUUCUUGUAAAUAUUUAUUAAAAAAUAA
Epinephelus lanceolatus (giant grouper) is the source of this 455-nucleotide long non-coding RNA. RefSeq lists it as uncharacterized. The record is from RefSeq and is a predicted model, not a curated record. NCBI's taxonomy places the organism in Eukaryota, Metazoa, Chordata, Actinopteri, Perciformes, Serranidae.